RNAcentral lists this long non-coding RNA (210 nucleotides) under Elaeis guineensis (African oil palm). Its description in RNAcentral is "long non-coding RNA (EGUI_LNC067939)". Lineage: Eukaryota; Viridiplantae; Streptophyta; Magnoliopsida; Arecales; Arecaceae. The record is from RNAcentral.
GAAGCCCUUAUAGUGGAUGUUGGCGACAGUUAGUCCGCUGUAGGAGUGGGGUGUGCAUCAAGAUAGGAUCUAUCGACCCUAGCAGAAGGGAGUAGUCCUGUGAGAUUUAAGAGGUUGAGUCCUUAAGUCUAUGAUCAUAGCAGUGUGAUUGAUGGAAAAAAAUUUUCAUAGAAUCAUAUAUGGACUUAAGCUGAUUAAAUCUAUUAUAUG